This is a long non-coding RNA of Cucumis melo (muskmelon), 10683 nucleotides long. RefSeq lists it as uncharacterized. The record is from RefSeq and is a predicted model, not a curated record. Lineage: Eukaryota; Viridiplantae; Streptophyta; Magnoliopsida; Cucurbitales; Cucurbitaceae. The transcript has 2 exons.
UCGAAUAAGUGAGUUAAAAAAAUUUAGGUAUCUCUCCUUCACGCAUACACAUCUUUUUCACGCAAAAGACCCACGUCGCUUUGCAGACUCCCAGCCGUCAUCCACCAUUCACGAAACCAUGAGUCUUACCUCCGUCGUCCGCAUCGAUCUGCUGCCACCAUUUAGUUUUUCUUUACCCUCCAUCCGACUUUCGAAGGUUGUUCAGCAGAUCUCGCCGUUGUCAUCUCAUUCGGUUCAUCCUCUCCGUGUUUUCGUCGCACAACGUGUCAUUGUUGUUGCUGGUCCGCCGACGUCUAGAGCGCUGGUGCAGGUUUGUCGCUAGAAUUUGAUAACAUUCGGUAGGUGCUCCAGUUUUGGGUAAGUUGAUGUGUAUUUGGUGAGUUUCUGGAAAUAUCUUCGAUGCCCAUUAAAUUUGGCUCAUUUUUAUUGAUACCCAAUGUUAUUAUCACCUAAAUUGAUCAACCCAUGAUUGUUUUGAGGAAGUUGGCAUGUUAUUUCAACCUUAGUUUAGUCAACAUCAGUCAAGAUUAGCCUAUUAAACUAGAUUAGCUCAUGUUUGAAGUUGUGAAGUUGGAAAUUUGGAGUAGUGGAGUUGAAGUUGCGGAGUUGUGCAGAUUCUGAAAAUUUGGUGCCGUUUGGAAUUUGGAAUUGUGGCGAAGUUGACGUUUGGAAUGUGGAUUUUGCAUAUUUUAUCGUUCGUAAGCUAGGUAUCCAAGUUAUUAAAUUUUAGGUUAAACACUUGUUUGGAGUCGAUUACCGUAAAAAAAAACAUCAACAUAAACUUAAUGGUUGAUGAACAACAAAAACCAAUAAAAAUAGAUUUCUUGACGUUUUAAAGAUGAAAAACAUCACUAUUACCCUAUAUUGAUGUUCGGAGCAUAUCAACAAAGAUUGUGUCUUGAUGGACCUUUUCAUAUACUUGAUGGAUAAAAAUGUCAAGGUCUCAUUUCAUGAUGGCGAAAAACAUCAAGAAAGGGUUUAAGGUGACAUGUUUUGACCAUCAAAAACUGAUUUUCUUGAUUGACAAACUUUCUUGAUGUCUGCCUAAUUGAUGAGUUUUGGUCGACAUUUCUUUUAUUAUUUUUGUACAUAAAAAAAAAGGUCAAAAUUGUAGUAGUGCUUGGAUGCCUUGUCAUCCUUGUUUUCUUUGUAAGUGUGGCCAUAAAUCAUUCAAUUCUAAUGUUUUUAGAACAUAUAAUAUAUUCAAUAUAGACUUUAUUAUACCUUUAGAUUUUUAUCUUCGUUGUUUGUUUUGUUUGUCAUUUUUCAUGUUUCAAGGAAAGCUGAAAAAUUUAGAAACCAAUAUAAAUUAUUUUAAUGUACAUAAGUUUUUUACACAUGCAUGUAUCAUAUAUUAAUAUAUAUACUUUUCUCGAAGAGGCACAUGAUCGUCUUGUUUGUAUGAUAGUAUAUGAGAUAUAUCAUAUAAUAUAUACAACAUAAGUUGUACCUUGUAUCAUAUGUACUGUAUGUUUUUAAGGUUAUUAAAAUUAUCAAAAUAUGUGUUGUUACCUCAUUAGUCUCUUCAUCUACAAACAGUCUUUGCGUCUUCACAAAUGACCUCCUGAAUAGUUUUUCGAUAGUUUAUAGUAGAUUAGUUAUAUAUAUAUAUAUAUAUAUAUAUAUAUAUAUAUAUAUAUUCCAUUUUCAUAUAUUUAAUAAACAUCAGUAUGUAUUGGUUUAUAUGAAGAUACCUCAUCCAUUAAUUCUUUCUUCAAGCUCACUCCAUCGUUCCCCAAUAGCAUCUACUUCAGGAUUCUCCCCGUAGAUGUAUACAAUUAAUGCUGAAUUUCAAGAAAAAUAAAUAAUUUAACGAAAUUAAACUGAGGAAGUCUUUUAUUAGGAGAUGUACCUAAAGGAAUAUAUGUAUGGAACUAUUUGUGUCUCAAAUGUUUCCAAAUCAUCUUCUACUUGAAUCUCGUCCUUGGGUAGUAUGACUCUCAAUGAUAUAAAUUCAUUUGUCACAUCUCCUAACAGCCAGCCAGUCGAAGAAGUCGGUAGAAUUGUUUUUUCUUUUUUUUUUUCAAAUUCUUCUUUUUUCCUUAUUUGUGUUGUGGGAUUUGUUUGUCUAUCACACUUUAAAUGUUUGAAGGAGUUGAGUUGAGUUGGUAUAUUAUACCAACUCACCCAAACUCUUCAUUCUUCUAAUGUUUUUAAUGGGUUCACUCAUUAACUACCAUUGACAAUUAUAUUGCCACACUUCAAGAACCAACUUUAGAGACUACUUUCACAUGUUCAACUUUGAUGAUUGAUUUCGGGCUCCAGCAACCACCUCUGACAAACAACACUCUUCAACAACAUCACCUCUGUGUGACCAACUUCGACGAUCAAUUUUGGACUUUGGUAACUAUUUCCAAUAAUAUUGACGAAAAUCAACUUCGAUGACCAACUUUGCAAUACGAAUUUCAAGCUCCAACAACAAACUCUUGUGACCAACUCCAAGAUCACCUUUGUGCUACCAACUUCUGUCUUUGACAACCACCUACAACUAGCUACAAACUUUGGUGAAAAUCACCUUUGUUAACAACCAACUUAACUUCGGGCUCCAACAAGUACCUCUACAAUAAAGUUCAACUAAAAUUAAUUUUUAAUAAUAAACUUCAAUAACAAGUGACAACCACCUCUAACAAUCAAUACCGACAUUUAUCUUAGGCGACCAAGAAAGACAAAAACCAGCUUUAUCGAUCAACUUCAACAACAAUCACAUAUGGCAGCCAACUUUGACAAUUGUCUUGAACAACUAACUCCAACCACCAACUUUAUUGUUCAUUUUCAAUGAUUAACUUGACUUAUAUACUAUAUAUAUAAAAAUGAACUUGACGAACAUAAGUGCAUUUAAAUACAAACUUGAAAUGAUUGGUGUUUAAAUGAUUAAUAGUCGUUUAAGGAUGAUCAAGUCAUUCUUAUAGAUUUAUUUGUCACAAGCAUCAAUCAAUUGCUUCUUAGCACCGGUGCAACCAAUGAAGAUGUACUAUUUGUACUUGCUAUAUAGGACUAACAUACUUAACUAUUUAAAAGAAUAUUUUUUUUUGUAUGCAUAGAAUUGGUUUUUUGUUGACCACACUAUUAUAUUUUUAGUUAAUUGCAUUCACAUAUCAAAUGUGUUGAGGAUUUGAAAAAAUAUGUAUUGCAUGGUAGAACAAAAAUAAAGCAAAAACAAACAAAAAUAACAAAUAACAACAAAAAAAAUCAUAAAAUAGAGAAUUUUUUAGAACAUUUUCUAGCCAUAGUGAGUGAAAAAAAUGAAUAUAUGCUCUUUGAUGAUUCUCCAAAUUUGGAGGAAUUGAAUGCGGAAUUGUUUUAAAAAAUAUAGUGGCAUUUCAUUGAUUGAUAAUAUGAUAGAAGAAAUUCGAUUAAAAUAAAUCACGAGAGAGGAAAAAUACACAGCAACAAUAGGAAGAAAGAAGAAAAAUAAAAAGUUGAAAUUCAUAAAAAAAUUAAGAACAAAAAGUUUUGAAUUUUCUUUCGUUAUACAUUUUAUUUAUCUAUGUUGUGCAAGAAAUGUAGCGUAUUGUUGUUUAUUACGAAAAAGAAAGGAAAAAAAAAGAAAAACAUAAAAAAACAAAAUAAUAAAAAUGCAAUCCAUAUUUUAUUCAAGUAAAGUGCGAAGAAUAUUUUAUUGAUAUCUUUUAAUCUAUAUUUUACAUGAGAAGUAUGAGAAUAUAUAUAAAUUUAUAUUGCAAUUAGGAUUAAUUACAUCAUUUUCCUUAUUUACUUGUAUUGGUUUGUAUAUUUAUCUUCUCAUGUAAAAUAUAUAUUAAAAGAUAUCAAUAAAAUAUUCUUCACAUGGUAUCAUUUAACCUAGCUUCCCUCCUGACGGCGUUAACCCUGUACGAGAUCUGUACCCGUGGCUGUUGACCAAGACUAUACCAGAUCCCGUCGACCAAUCUUGCAUCAGACAUCGUCGGCUAGUCCUCUCUCAAAUAUAUCAUACACCAUCGGCUAGUCUUCUCCUAGAUCCAUUCGCCAUGGUCUGGCCAAAUUUGUUCGACUUGCUCAAAUAUGCCCCCUUCGACCUACACAUGUACUCACUCCGGCCAAGCUUCUCCAAUUCGCUUAUAUCUAAAUGUCAAAAGCUCAGUUCCUCACAUCCUCAGAUCGUAUAUGUACCAAUUUCAGCCAAACUUCUUAGAUUCGUUUAGAUUUAAUAGUAUCCCUUAUUGCUUCUUUGAUUUGGCUUCCUGAUAUCUUUCGAUCCACUCUAGCUCAGUCCCACCUAUUCAGCCGUUUCGUGGUUUCCUUAGAUCCAUAGAACCUCUUUGUUCCAAUUUAGGUUUGUUCUUCGGAGUAAUCAGAAUUAAGUCCUAAAUCAAUAAGACAACUCUAGCCUUAAUGGAGAAAUAGUAUAUUAUUUGUCCUAUUCACACAAUUCUUGAUGGGACUAAUUAUCUCACUUGGGCAAAUCUAAUGAAAAACUUUCUAAUUGGACAAAAACUAUGACGUAUUGUUAUUGGUGAUAUUAUAAAAUCAACCAAAUAAUACAAGGAGGAUGAUAGUAAAUUUUAUUGAACGUCUCGAAGAAUGGGACAGUAAAAAUAACAAGAUUAUCACCUAGCUUGGAAACACAUCCUUCGAUAAUGCUAUGAGAUGUUUGUCUACACGCUUUAAAUCUAGUAGUUAUUCAACCUAUCUGGACUCAGCCCAAUCAAGACAAAUUAAUAUAGAUCAUCUUUGCCUUAUUAAGUUUUUUAUGGAUUACGUCCAGGUUAGGGUUGCCUUACUACAUUGUGGCCUCUUUGCCCUAAUUGAAUACAACUAUCUAAGAGAUUUCAUUUGAGGAAAAACGUCUUGGCACCAUUCUCACCAAACAAUUAAAUGUUUUUGCAAGCACUUAUCCACCGAAUGAAACAACCAUAUUUUGUACAAACUAUAAGCUUCUAUUCAUAAGUUUAUUGAUUGUCCUAAAAUAGUUUGAAGGUACUACCAUAAGUGUGGUCAUAUUUUAGAUAAUUGUCCCAUACGGCCAUCUUCCUUCAGGUUAUCUUAUAAAAGCAAGGAACUUUAAUGAACCUAGUAUCUCCUCUGUUGUUGCUGCUACUACCUUAGAUGAUUCAUCCUUCCCAAUCUUGAGAUUAGUUAAUUUCAUCUUCUUCCUCUGCUCUUGCCGUCUUACAAGGUAAUUGAUGGCUUCUUAAUUCUACCUGUUGCAACCAUAUGACAUCUGAUUGUUCUUUUAUGACUAUUUCUAGUCCUGCAAAAUCUUUACCUCCAAUUUAUGUUGCUAAUGACAAUUGUAUGAACAUCUCUCAUAUUGGUCAAUUGUGUGAUCUUGGCCUAACUAUUUCUUUUUCUCUCAAUAAUUGUGAGUUUAAGAUCCAUAAACGGGAUAGACGAUUGGUACGGGUCGUAAAGUGGAAAGAUUAUUUGAGCUCAUAUCACUCCAGCUUCCUUCUCCUUCAUAUAUCUGUGCUCCUGUCAUUGACUCUAAUACAUAUCAGUGACAUCUUUGUCUUGGUCAUGCGUCUUCUGAAAAACUUUGUCAUUUAAUUUUCCUUAACAAUUUGAAUAACAUUACUAAGUUUGUUCUUUUUAAUUGCUUAAAUUGUAUACUCGCUAAACAACAUGCUUUAUUUUUUUUCUCACUCCACUUCUAUAUAUGAUAAACCAUUUGAUUUAAUUCAUUCUAACAUUUGGGGUCCUGCCUCUACUACUACUAUUCAUGGUUAUUACUAUUAUGUUCUGUUUAAUGAUAAUAACUCUCGUUUUAUAUGGAUAUACUUUCUUAAACAUCGCUUUGAAUUAUCUCGAAUUUAUAAUGAGUUUGCUAACAUUGAUCCACACCCAAUUCUCGCAUCCAGUCAAAACCCUCAACACGGAUAAAUCAACGUAGUCUUAAGCGUGCAUCUUUUCAAGAGCCUGCAGUUCAUCUUUUCAAGAACCUGCAGUUCAUCUUUUCAAGGGUUAGUACUGGCCUCUUGAUAAGAGGUAGGUUCAACAAGGAAAACAAUAGUGGAAAAAUAGUGAUAUUCUUGGAGAUGAAUUAGAGGUUCCCUUACUGGAGUAGAAUGACGAAGAGUAGUAUCUAAAGUAGGCUUAGGAACAUCAUUGGAGACAGACAACUGGUUCGGGUUUGUAGGAGCAUGUGCAAAUUGAGUAAGCUCAAAUGUAUGAGUAAAGAAAAUAUGAGGACUUAAGAAGAGGUGUGGAAUGAGGACAAACGAGAUAACAUAGUAUGUUCCUAAAAGUUGACAUGACAAUAUAUAUGAAGUUUGUUGGAAAGAGGUUCUCAAUAACGAAAACCUUUAUGUUUUGUGCCAUAGCCAAUAAAGCAACGGAGACGGGCACAUGGUUCUAGUUUAAUGUGUUUUUUAGGAUGAGAAGAACAAAGCAUGCACAACAAAAAACUUUAAGGUUAGAGUAGUUGGGAGGAGUUCCAUGUAGUCUUUUGAAUGGAGAGAUGUUUCGAAGAAUAUAAGAAGGAAGAUCGUUAAUAGUAUAGACAGAUGGAUGUAAGAGUAGUCUCGCCCUAAAAUUUCUCAAGACAUGAGGCAAAAAGAAGUAGGACACGAACCGAGUCAAGAAUGUGGCAUUGAAUGAGAGUAGCCUUACUGGGAGAGAAGAAAGAAGGGUGAAGUCUUUAUGCUCCAAGGCAUUAUUAGUGUAGAUGGUUUUGACAGGAUGAGAGAAUUGAGUGUGGAUUAUGUUAGUAAACUCAAUAUAAAUGCGAGAUAAUUCAAAGCAAUGUUUAAGAAAAUAAAUCCAUGUAAAACGAGAGUAAUCAUUAAUGAACAUAACUUUAGCAAUAAUCGUGGACAAUAGUAGUAGGAGCAGGACCCAAAUAUCAUAAUGAAUCAAAUCAAAUGGUUUAUCUAGAAGUGGUGUGAGAAAAAGAUAAAACAGGUUGUUUAGCGAAUUUGCAAUUUAAGUAAUUAAAAGGAACAAACUUAGUAACGUUAUUCAAAUUAUUAACGAAAAUUAAAUGACAUCCUUUCAGAAGAAGCAUGACCUAGACGAAGAUACCACUGAUAUGUAUUAGAGUCGAUGACAGGAGCAAAGAUAGAUGAAUGAGAAGGAAGCUGGAGUGAUAUGAGCUCAAAUAAUCUUCCCACUUUGCAACCAUCUGUGGAUCCUGAACUAACAAUCAUUGGGAGAAAAAGAAAUAGUUAAGCCAAGAUCACACAAUUAACCAACAAACAUAAGAUUAAAGAUUAAGUUUUGGAUAUAGUAAGUAGAUUAAAGGUUAAGUUUGGGAUAUAGUAAGUAUGGAGAAGACUCAGACCAGGAGUAUUGAUGGUGCCAAUAUGAGAAAUGUUCAUACAAUUGCCAUCAACAUCAUAAAUUGGAGGAAAAGAUUUUGCAAAACUAGAAGUAGUCAUAAGAGAAAAAUCAGAUGUCAUAUGGUUGCAAUAGCUAGAGUCAGGAAGCCAUCGAUUACCUGGUGAUAUGGCAAGAGUAGAGGUAGAUGAUGAAAUUAACUAAUUUAAUAAGCUUUGAAGAUCACUUAUCUGAAGAUUGGGGGAAGAAUCAUCUGGGGAAGUACUAGCAACAAUAGAGGAGGCACUGUGUUUAUUAAAGUUCCUUGCUUUUGUAGGAUAGCCUGGAGGUCGAGGUGGUUGUGUGGGACAAUUAUUCAGAAUAUGACCAUGAUUAUGGCAGUACUUAGGGAAUCAAUAAAUUUAUGACAAGAGAGCUUAUAGUUUUUACAAAAUGUGGUUGUCACUCUAUUGGGUGGAUAAGUGCUUGUAAGAACAUUUGAUUAUUUGAAGGGAAUGAUGCCAAGACAUUUUUCCUCAAAUAAAAUAUCUUGGAUAGAUGUAUCAAAUGAGGGCAAGGGGUUGCAAUGUAGUAAGACAACCAUAACAGAUUCAUAGUCUGGACAUAAUCUCAUAAGGAGCUUAGUAAUGCAAAGAUUUGAUCUGUACUAAUUUUGGCUUGAUCGAGUCGAGUCCAGAUAGGUUGAAGAACUGCUAGAUAUUCAUAAACAGACUGACCAACAUAUUGAUUGAGAUUGAUAGGGUACUUUACAAUUGAUAGUAAUGAGUACUCCGAUAGAUUUAAAACAUGUAAUAAAAAAUUCCAUAAUUUUUUAGCAUUAUCGAAGGGAUAGAUGUGUUACCAAGUCUGAGUUUUACUGUCCCAUUCUUCGAGACAUUCAAUAAAUUUAGAAAGCUUUUCAUUUGAUUUGUCCGCGUGAGAUAAUUAGUCCCAUUAAGGACUGUGUUAAUAAGACAAACAAUAUGGUUUUUCUCCAUUGAGGCUAGAGCUAUCUUGGUGAUUUAGGACUUAGCUAAAUUGUAACUACCAUGAAGAACAAAUCUAAACGAGCAAAGAGGUACUAUGGAUCUGAGGAAACCACACAAUGACUAAUUAGAAGGGAUUGAGCUAGAGUGGAUCAAAGGGAAUUAGAGAGUCGAAUCAGAGAAGUAAUAGGGGACUGUCAAAUCUAAAUGGAUUCGAGGAGCUUGACUGAAGUUGGGACAUAUACGGGUCUGAAGAUGUGAGGAACUAAGCGUUUGACGUUCAGAUAUGAGCGAAUUAGAGAAGCUUGGCGGAGUGGGUACAUGUGUGGGUCGAAGGGAGCAGAUUUUAGCAGAUCUGAGAAGUUUGGCCAGAUCGUGUCGAAUGGAUCUGGGAAAGGACUAGCCGGUGGUGUAUGACUUAUUUGGGAAAAGACUGGUCGAUGGGUUCUGGUACAAUGCUGGUGGGCAGCGACUGGUACAAAUCUGAUAUAGGGUUGGCGUUGUCAAGGGGGAAGCUAGGUUAAACUUUUAGGCUUUAAUACCAUGUGAAAAAUAUUUUAUUGAUUAUCUUUUAAUGUAUAUUUUACAUGAGGAGUAUGAGUCCAUGUAAAGCAUUUCUAUUUAAUAAUAAUGGUUAUAUGUGUUGUGUCUCCUCUUCAUGUUCUACGGUUAGUUUCCCAAAUUUGACUAAUUUUAGAAUGGAUGAAUCUUUGCUGUCUCUUCUUCAUGUUUUAUAGUUAGCUUUCCAAAUUUGAUUAAUUUUAGAAUGGAUAAAUCUUCACUUUAGUCUCUAUUUCGUAAAACAAGUUGUUAUUGAUAAUGUCUUUUUAUAUGUGAUAUUGUCUUAUUCACUUAGGUAGGGAUUUUGUAUUUUGAUACUUGGAAGGGAUAUACAUUUUUGCCAAUUCUAAGGUACUUUAUAUCUAUCAUUUAUGUCCCUCUGGACUAGUUUGAAUGACAGGUGAAUAUACUUGACCCUUGAUAUAGGUUCAUUAAAAAUUCAUUUUUUUUUCAAUUAUUGCAACACAGAUAUAGGCUCUUCUGAACGUUCAAGGAAAUGAGUGGAGAGAAAAAAAAAGCUAGCUUUGUUUGUGAUUACUAAAGGAUGAACUUGAAGGUCGGCACUAAAUGAAGGUGAAGUUCUUUAGCAUGUAUGUAUUAAUCUUUUUAACCAAUUAUGGUCACUUGAUCUUUACUUUAUUCCUUAAAUCUGCGGAUAUUUUUGUUUUUUUUUUCAAAUGAUUGAUGAAAUAAAAUUCUUUGAAUGAUAAAGAACCACUAUAUUCAGUCACUCACAAACUGUCGAGGUAUGCGAGAAUUUGCUUGUCACUUGUUGGAAGAUUCGGACAGGUGGGUUUGAAUUUUGAUAUUGCAAUUAAGCAUAUUUUGUCUUUGUCUUAGGUUUUCAACAAUUUGGUUGUUGAUUAUUCAAUUUUAUUUGAGAAGAAGAGCAUUUUGGCACCAUUGUUACAGACUCAAUUUGUUUGAACUUUCUCAUAUUCUACUAUCAAGGUACCACUAUUAAGGUAGUGAAAAGGUCUAUUGAGUUCGAGUUUUCUGUAGGGAAUUACUCAGGCAAAGAUUUUUGUUCACAAUUAAAACACUAUAGAAGUUGAGAUAUUCCUUGAACUUAACCCUUACUUGUAAUGUUCAAUCCAUAUGUGUGUGCUUGUAACUCGAUGACUGUGGGGGCAUUUGAUAUAUAUAUACUCCAUGUAAAGCAUUUCUAUUUAAUAAUAGGGGUUAUAUGUGUUGUAUCUCCUUCAUGUUUUAUAGUUAGCUUCUCAAAUUUGACGGAUGAAUAUCUUUACUUCUCUUCCUCAUGUUUUAUAGUUGGCUUUCGAAAUUUGAUUAAUUUUAGAAUGAAUAAUUCUUCACUUUAGUCUCUAUUCUCUUCAACAAGUUAUUGAUUUUGUGCUACAUCCUCUCCUUCCCCUUCUCUUUUUUAGAGGUUUCAAAGAAAGUUGGCUAUGAAAUUGUUGGAAAAAAAAAGAAAUUGGGAGUCUCCAGACGUCGUCAAGCGUCAGUAUAUAUGCCCAAAAGCAUCCGAAAAGGAUCUCUCAAUGUACAUAGUGCCGUCGGGAAAGGAAGUUGGUAGUAGUGCGUCGAUGACGGAACUCUCGAAGUGCAAACAAAAAGGCGUUGGGAAUGCCUUACUCCCGACGUUGUCAAGGCCGACGAUGGAGCACAUCGGCAAUAGGGGACUUUCGAUGUCCCCUUCUUGAGUCAAGAGAAACGUGCUCCCGAUGCGACGUUGCUCGAAGGUUGCCCGACGUGUUGCUCACGACGUCGGGAGAAGGGCAUCAAUCCUGACUCCUUUGGUGCGUUGGGAGAUAUUUUUAACGUAUACAUAUUUUAAAUUAUAUUAUUCAUUUUUUUAUUAUCAAAGUACCAUUGUAAUUUAUAUAAUUAGAAACUAAAUCUAAAUGUCUGAACAAUUACGAUUGUUUAAAUUGUUUUAAGCAAUUACAUAAAAAAGAAAAAAAAAUACACUAUCUUUUAA